This 460-nucleotide ribosomal RNA is filed under the name uncultured bacterium. RNAcentral's name for it is "partial 16S ribosomal RNA". It matches the Rfam family "Bacterial small subunit ribosomal RNA", at positions 338 to 795 of the family's 1533-position model. The record is from RNAcentral.
CCUACGGGUGACAGCAGUGAGGAAUAUUGGUCAAUGGGCGUAAGCCUGAACCAGCCAAGUCGCGUGAGGGAUGAAGGUUCUAUGGAUCGUAAACCUCUUUUAUAAGGGAAUAAAGUGUGGGACGUGUCCUGUUUUGUAUGUACCUUAUGAAUAAGGAUCGGCUAACUCCGGGCCAGCAGCCGCGGUAAUACGGAGGAUCCGAGCGUUAUCCGGAUUUAUUGGGUUUAACGGGUGCGUAGGCGGCCUGUUAAGUCAGCGGUGAAAGUCUGUGGCUCAACCAUAGAAUUGCCGUUGAAACUGGGAGGCUUGAGUAUGUUUGAGGCAGGCGGAAUGCGGGGUGUAGCGGUGAAAUGCUUAGAUAUCACGCAGAACCCCGAUUGCGAAGGCAGCCUGCCAAGCCAUGACUGACGCUGAUGCACGAAAGCGUGGGGAUCAAACAGGAUUAGAUACCCGUGUAGUC